GAUGAAGAACGUAGCGAAAUGCGAUAAGUAAUGCGAAUUGCAGAAUUCCGUGAGUCAUCGAAUCUUUGAACGCACAUUGCGCCCUCUGGUAUUCCGGAGGGCAUGCCUGUCUGAGCGUCAUUGUCAACCCUCAAGCUCAGCUUGCUGUUGGGUCCCCGUCGUUGCUUUAACGGCGGACCCGAAAGGUAAUGGCAGAGUCCGUGAGACCCUAGACGCAGCGAGCUUCUAGCACGCGUCUGGACGUUUUUCGGGCUCGGUCUUAACUAGAUGAUAACUUCCGAUUGACCUCAGAUCAGGUAGGGAUACCCGCUGAACUUAAGCAUAUCAAUAGCGGAGA
Molecule: unclassified non-coding RNA, 337 nt
Filed under: soil metagenome
Description: partial contains 5.8S ribosomal RNA, internal transcribed spacer 2, and large subunit ribosomal RNA
Rfam family: 5.8S ribosomal RNA (bases 1-120)
Source: RNAcentral